Molecule: ribosomal RNA, 602 nt
Filed under: uncultured Kocuria sp.
Lineage: Bacteria; Bacillati; Actinomycetota; Actinomycetes; Micrococcales; Micrococcaceae
Description: bacterial SSU rRNA
Rfam family: Bacterial small subunit ribosomal RNA
Source: RNAcentral
GGUGAUUACACCUGGUGGAUGAGUGGCGAACGGGUGAGUAAUACGUGGGUGACCUUCCUUGGACUCUGGGAUAAGCCCGGGAAACUGGGUCUAAUACCGGAUACGACCAGUCCUCGCAUGGGGUGCUGGUGGAAAGGGUUUGUACUGGUUCUUGAUGGGCUCACGUCCUAUCAGCUUGUUGGUGAGGUAAUGGCUUACCAAGGCGACGACGGGUAGCCGGCCUGAGAGGGUGACCGGCCACACUGGGACUGAGACACGGCCCAGACUCCUACGGGAGGCAGCAGUGGGGAAUAUUGCACAAUGGGCGCAAGCCUGAUGCAGCGACGCCGCGUGGGGGAUGACGGCCUUCGGGUUGUAAACCUCUUUCAGCAGGGAAGAAGCGAAAGUGACGGUACCUGCAGAAGAAGCGCCGGCUAACUACGUGCCAGCAGCCGCGGUAAUACGUAGGGCGCAAGCGUUGUCCGGAAUUAUUGGGCGUAAAGAGCUCGUAGGCGGUUUGUCGCGUCUGCUGUGAAAGCCCGGGGCUCAACCCCGGGUGUGCAGUGGGUACGGGCAGGCUGGAGUGCAGUAGGGGAGACCGCAAUUCCUGGUGUAGCGGUGAA